RNAcentral lists this ribosomal RNA (468 nucleotides) under uncultured bacterium. RNAcentral describes it as "partial 16S ribosomal RNA". It matches the Rfam family "Bacterial small subunit ribosomal RNA", at positions 28 to 507 of the family's 1533-position model. The record is from RNAcentral.
GAUGAACGCUGGCGGCGUGCUUAACACAUGCAAGUCGAACGGAAAGGCCCAAGCUUGCUUGGGUACUCGAGUGGCGAACGGGUGAGUAACACGUGGGUGAUCUGCCCUGCUCUUCGGGAUAAGCCUGGGAAACUGGGUCUAAUACCGGAUAGGACGAUGGUUUGGAUGCCAUUGUGGAAAGUUUUUUCGGUGUGGGAUGAGCUCGCGGCCUAUCAGCUUGUUGGUGGGGUAAUGGCCUACCAAGGCGUCGACGGGUAGCCGGCCUGAGAGGGUGUACGGCCACAUUGGGACUGAGAUACGGCACAGACUCCUACGGGAGGCAGCAGUGGGGAAUAUUGCACAAUGGGCGCAAGCCUGAUGCAGCGACGCCGCGUGGGGGAUGACGGCCUUCGGGUUGUAAACUCCUUUCGCUAGGGACGAAGCGUUUUUGUGACGGUACCUGGAGAAGAAGCACCGGCUAACUACGUG